UGGGAAUUGUGAAAUCUUAUGUUUACAGUUGUAAUAAUAAUAAUGACAUAUAAAUAUAAAUAAUAUUAUGAUUGCCUUUGCGACUGAUCGAGGGAAAAUAUGAGUUCAUUUUUCUUCUGCGAAUACGUAUGCGGUGGCUAUUUUUACACAUAUUUAUGACAGAUCGUCAUGACGAUGGAUAAAGUAGCGAUGACUUGUUCGUAAGUUAGAUAUUCUGUUUUUAGUUUGUUAUUGGAAACUGCACAGAGAAUAAAGAAAUUGAUGCAAAGGCAAAUAACAUUUGACGUAAGGGAGUUUAUCACUGAGGGUUUUAAAUUGAUUUCAUAGGAACUAUGAAAGUUUGAUUAAAAUACACCGUUGCAAAAACAGUGUUAGCUAUUGUUGCAAAUUGCAGUAACACGUUCAGUUCUAAUAAGCCCCGACAUGGGCCAACAAAAAUACCUAUGAGACUAUACACUGUAGAAUAUUUUUAAACGAGAGAGGAGCAUCAGUUUGUCGUUGUACGUGCUAUCGUUCGCUUGUGAUUUUAUAAUUUACUCCAGAAAUUUUCUGUUCAAAAAUACCGAGAUUUAGUAAAAUUUCGAGAGAAGACGGAAAAAGUGCAAGAACAUAUUUGUGCAGAUCGAAAGCAAGGCCUAAUCCAAAUAAAAAAACUACGCAAGAUUGGAGGAUAGUAACCGCAUUCAGAGGGCCGAGAUCCGAGCUGAGCAGCAGAGCAGAGAAGCCAGGAUAAAGCAAAAACUUGGAAAAAAAGAGGCUGAAGACAACGCAGAUGUUGCAGAGACUUUACUUUGUGGAGCUUGGAUCGAUGAUUCUGUAUAAUUUCCGACCGCGAAACAGUGAACACCGCAAAUUGUUUUUCUUUCAAGGCGUGCUGCUGGGGCAAGCGCUGUCACCGGCUUAUUUUUCAAUAUUUCAGCUUGAAAAAAUUACGAAAUAUUGUUAAAAAUAUACUUAAUAAUGUAC
Long non-coding RNA from Hermetia illucens (black soldier fly), 966 nucleotides. RefSeq lists it as uncharacterized. The record is from RefSeq and is a predicted model, not a curated record. The transcript has 3 exons. NCBI's taxonomy places the organism in Eukaryota, Metazoa, Arthropoda, Insecta, Diptera, Stratiomyidae.